AUUGAACGCUGGCGGCAUGCCUUACACAUGCAAGUCGAACGGCAGCACGGGUGCUUGCACCUGGUGGCGAGUGGCGAACGGGUGAGUAAUACAUCGGAACAUGUCCUGUAGUGGGGGAUAGCCCGGCGAAAGCCGGAUUAAUACCGCAUACGAUCUACGGAUGAAAGCGGGGGACCUUCGGUCCUCGCGCUAUAGGGUUGGCCGAUGGCUGAUUAGCUAGUUGGGGGGGUAAAGGCCUACCAAGGCGACGAUCAGUAGCUGGUCUGAGAGGACGACCAGCCACACUGGGACUGAGACACGGCCCAGACUCCUACGGGAGGCAGCAGUGGGGAAUUUUGGACAAUGGGCGAAAGCCUGAUCCAGCAAUGCCGCGUGUGUGAAGAAGGCCUUCGGGUUGUAAAGCACUUUUGUCCGGAAAGAAAUCCUUGGCCCUAAUACGGUCGGGGGAUGACGGUACCGGAAGAAUAAGCACCGGCUAACUACGUG
Molecule: ribosomal RNA, 486 nt
Filed under: uncultured bacterium
Lineage: Bacteria
Description: partial 16S ribosomal RNA
Rfam family: Bacterial small subunit ribosomal RNA
Source: RNAcentral